Molecule: transfer RNA, 90 nt
Filed under: Velazquezella soli
Lineage: Bacteria; Pseudomonadati; Pseudomonadota; Alphaproteobacteria; Hyphomicrobiales; Rhizobiaceae
Description: Rhizobium soli tRNA-Ser
Rfam family: tRNA
About the family: Transfer RNA (tRNA) molecules are approximately 80 nucleotides in length. Their secondary structure includes four short double-helical elements and three loops (D, anti-codon, and T loops). Further hydrogen bonds mediate the characteristic L-shaped molecular structure. tRNAs have two regions of fundamental functional importance: the anti-codon, which is responsible for specific mRNA codon recognition, and the 3' end, to which the tRNAs corresponding amino acid is attached (by aminoacyl-tRNA synthetases). tRNAs cope with the degeneracy of the genetic code in two manners: having more than one tRNA (with a specific anti-codon) for a particular amino acid; and 'wobble' base-pairing, i.e. permitting non-standard base-pairing at the 3rd anti-codon position.
Source: RNAcentral
GGAGAGGUGGCUGAGUGGUCGAAAGCACCGCACUCGAAAUGCGGCAUACGGGCAACCGUAUCAUGGGUUCGAAUCCCACCCUCUCCGCCA